AUUAAACGCUGGCGGCAUGCCUUACACAUGCAAGUCGAACGGCAGCACGGGGGCAACCCUGGUGGCGAGUGGCGGACGGGUGAGUAAAGCAUCGGAACGUAUCCUGGAGUGGGGGGAUAACGUAGCGAAAGUUACGCUAAUACCGCAUAUUCUGUGAGCAGGAAAGCAGGGGAUCGCAAGACCUUGCGCUCUGGGAGCGGCCGAUGUCGGAUUAGCUAGUUGGUGGGUAAAGGCCUACCAAGGCGACGAUCCGUAGCGGGUCUGAGAGGAUGAUCCGCCACACUGGGACUGAGACACGGCCCAGACUCCUACGGGAGGCAGCAGUGGGGAAUUUUGGACAAUGGGCGCAAGCCUGAUCCAGCCAUGCCGCGUGAGUGAAGAAGGCCU
RNAcentral lists this ribosomal RNA (387 nucleotides) under uncultured bacterium. RNAcentral's name for it is "bacterial SSU rRNA". It matches the Rfam family "Bacterial small subunit ribosomal RNA", at positions 29 to 417 of the family's 1533-position model. The record is from RNAcentral.